Mirounga angustirostris (Northern elephant seal) is the source of this 2480-nucleotide long non-coding RNA. RefSeq lists it as uncharacterized. The transcript has 5 exons. The record is from RefSeq and is a predicted model, not a curated record. NCBI's taxonomy places the organism in Eukaryota, Metazoa, Chordata, Mammalia, Carnivora, Phocidae.
CCCGGCGGUUCAAGUUUCUGCGCCCGGAGGACGCGGCCUUGGCCAAUCCCUGGGCUACAGGGCGCUUUUAAAAUGCAGGUGGUUCCCGUGGCCUGCAUCUCAGUCCUGGGUCUCUCCAGGGCCGGCAGCUUCAGCUGAACUUUCCAAGAGAAAAACGAAGCCUGCAUCUACAUAGGGGUGAAUGCACGACCCUUCAGCACAUGACCAAUUGAAUCUGAGCCCCUCAUUUUGAAGAUGAGGCAACUGAGCCCCAGGAGGCAAAUGACUUGCCCAAGGUCACUUUCGUUCAUUGGUUUACUGAACACACAAACAUAAUUAGUAAUCUCUACUCCCAACAUGGGGCUCAAACUCAUGACCCCAAGACCAAGAGUCGAAUGCUGUACUGACUGAACCAGCCGGGCAACCCCUGAGUUGAAUCUUGAAGACUCAGAUGACCAUGUGAACUUACGGGUGAUGACCAGAGGCGUGUGGACAUGAAAGGACUCUGGUACGGAUAGCCGGGGGAAGGUUGCCCAAUGGCUGAAUGUUUCUGCAGGCCAGCACAGCGAUGGUGACUGACCGGGCCUGGGGCCGGAUUCUGGGGUUUCUUCUCUGGCCCCCCUGGGGGACCCUGUAAGAGGGGAGUCACCAUGUAGGGCUGAAAGACCUCCAUGCCUAAGAAAUCAGGGCCCAUGGAAAAGCGGCCAUAAUUGUUUUUAUUAAAAGAUUAUAUAUUUAUUUGAGAGAGAGCAUGGGGAGGGGAGGGGCAGCGGGAGAAGGAGAAGCAGACUUCCGGCAGAUUGAGCCCCUUUGGUUCCUAGGGUGGAAGGCCCCAUUAGGGACCAAUUGGGAGAUAUCUGCAUCUGCACCACUCCCUUCCCAGCUAGAGCCACUGAAAUUCCCUCCUCCCCCUUCAGCUGCUGACAUCCCCUCAUACCAUUGCCCUGAGGAGCAAGGUAGGAAGGAGGCUCAACAGCAAGGGAAACUGAGUCAGGGAGCUCUUUGCAAGACUACCUCUUACCUUAACACACUUAAAAACAUUAUUCUUGGGGCACCUGGGUGGCACAGUCAGUUAAGUGGCUGCCUUUGGCUCAGGACAUGGUCCCAGAGUCCCAGGAUCGAGCCCUGCAUCAGGCUCCUUACUCAGCAGGGAGCCUGCUUCUCCCUCUCCCUCUGCACCCCUGCUCAUGCUCUCUCUCUCUCAAAUAAAUAAAUAAAAUAUUAAAAAACACACAUUAUUCUUAUUAGGAACUAUUUUAGGGGCACCUCACUGGCUCAAUCAGUUUGAGCUCCACGUUGGGUGUAGAGAUUACUUAAAAAUAAAAUCUCGAAAAAAAUAAAUGAGAAUUUUCAAAAAUAAAAUCUUAAAAAUAAAGUUAAAAAAAGGAACUGUUUUUAUAUUAUAACAAACAGGGACACAGCAGGUGCCUGGCAGGCACUGCCCAGCGUAGGAAGUCACUGCCACUUUUGAAGGCCCCUGGGGCUCCUUUUGGUCACAUGCCCCAGCCCACCUGACCCCAUGAUUCUGAAUGUUGCAUUAAUUAUUCCAUCAGCAUACUAUAUUUCCCCCUUAUAAUAGACCGCUUGAUGUUCAUGCUUUUGAACCUUAUUUAAGCUGUAUUGUGCUUCCUGUGUUCUUUGGCAACAUGCUUCUCCCUCAUUAUUUCCCUGAUGCGCGGAAGCUAUAGUUCGCUCACUUGCGUGGCUGUGUAGCAAGGUUGACAUCUUGUCUUUGGCAUGGGGACAGAGGAGGACUGUCUUGUGCAUCGUAGGAUGGUUACCAGCAUCCCUGGCCUCUAUCCAUUGGAUGGAAGUAGCACCCCCACCCCUAGUUGCAAGAGUUGAAAUUAUCUCCAGACCUUGCCAAAUGGCUCCCAGGAGCAAGAUCACCCUCAGUUGAGAAUCUCUUCUAAUAUCCAUUGCAUGAAUAUGUCACUUUUACUUUCCUCUUGAAGGACAUUGGUUUCUCAUGUUUUGCAAUAAACAGCAAUGCCGCCAUAGACAUUCUGGUAUGGUCCUGAUGUACAUGAGCUUGAACUUUGAGUCUAGACCAAGACACAGAGUGGCAGGGUCAUAGGACUCAAUGGCUUCAGGUCGACUGGAUGAGGCCAAACCGCUUCCCAAAGAGGUGGUGCUAACUUACAAUCCGGCCAGCAGGGUAUAGAAUGCUGUCACUCUGGUGGGCGAACCUCCGUGUGCUUUCCACACCCACUCUGCCUCCCUCAGGCUGUCAGAGCACAAGAGAAGCCCAGGCCAAAUUUCAUACUGGAGGUGCCUACUCUAUUAGGAAACAAAACAAAACAAACAAAAAACAGAAGAGGAAACAGUGGAGCAGGUUUAAACACUUGUAACUUACUUGAAAUGUUUGUAUUUAUGGAACUGAUGCAGGUACAAUGCAACAUUGUGGGAUAAUUAGAGGGCUUACUGCUGGUGAUAAGUUCCAGGUCCCAGACACUGCGUCUCUGAGCCCAGCUGCGUAUCCCUGGGACUAUCACCUCCAU